GUAGGUGGCAAGCGUUGUCCGGAAUUAUUGGGCGUAAAGCGCGCGCAGGCGGUUCUUUAAGUCUGAUGUGAAAGCCCACGGCUCAACCGUGGAGGGUCAUUGGAAACUGGAGAACUUGAGUACAGAAGAGGAAAGCGGAAUUCCACGUGUAGCGGUGAAAUUCGUAGAGAUGUGGAGGAACACCAGUGGCGAAGGCGGCUUUCUGGUCUGUAACUGACGCUGAGGCGCGAAAGCGUGGGGAGCAAACAGGGAUUAGAUACCCUGGUAGUCCACGCCGUAAACGAUGAGUGCUAAGUGUUAGGGGGUUUCCGCCCCCUUAGUGCUGCAGCUAACGCAUUAAGCACUCCGCCUGGGGAUACGGCCGCAAGGCUG
This 372-nucleotide ribosomal RNA is filed under the name uncultured organism. RNAcentral's name for it is "partial 16S ribosomal RNA". It matches the Rfam family "Bacterial small subunit ribosomal RNA", at positions 527 to 896 of the family's 1533-position model. The record is from RNAcentral.